Molecule: ribosomal RNA, 451 nt
Filed under: uncultured bacterium
Lineage: Bacteria
Description: bacterial SSU rRNA
Rfam family: Bacterial small subunit ribosomal RNA
Source: RNAcentral
CUGCCAGACUCCUACGGGAGGCAGCAGUGGGGGAUAUUGGACAAUGGGGGGAACCCUGAUCCAGCGACGCCGCGUGAGUGAAGAAGUAUCUCGGUCUGUAAAGCUCUAUCAGCAGGGAAGAAAGAAAUGACGGUACCUGAGUAAGAAGCCCCGGCUAACUCCGUGCCAGCAGCCGCGGUAAUACGGAGGAUGCGAGCGUUAUCCGGAUUUAUUGGGUUUAAAGGGUGCGCAGGCGGAGGUGCAAGUCAGCGGUCAAAUUGCGGGGCUCAACCCCGUACUGCCGUUGAAACUGCAUCCCUUGAGUGCGCGAGAAGUAUGCGGAAUGCGUGGUGUAGCGGUGAAAUGCAUAGAUAUCACGCAGAACUCCGAUUGCGAAGGCAGCAUACCGGCGCGCAACUGACGCUCAUGCACGAAAGCGUGGGUAUCGAACAGGAUUAGAUACCCGGGUAGA